Molecule: ribosomal RNA, 253 nt
Filed under: uncultured bacterium
Lineage: Bacteria
Description: partial 16S ribosomal RNA
Rfam family: Bacterial small subunit ribosomal RNA
Source: RNAcentral
UACGUAGGGGGCAAGCGUUAUCCGGAUUUACUGGGUGUAAAGGGAGCGUAGACGGCGGUGCAAGCCAGAUGUGAAAGCCCGGGGCUCAACCCCGGGACUGCAUUUGGAACUGUGCUGCUAGAGUGUCGGAGAGGCAGGCGGAAUUCCUAGUGUAGCGGUGAAGUGCGUAGAUAUUAGGAGGAACACCAGUGGCGAAGGCGGCCUGCUGGACGAUGACUGACGUUGAGGCUCGAAAGCGUGGGGAGCAAACAGG